CCUACGGGAGGCAGCAGUGGGGAAUAUUGGGCAAUGGGCGCAAGCCUGACCCAGCAACGCCGCGUGAAGGAUGAAGGUUUUCAGAUUUUAAACUUCUGUCGCGCAGGACGCAGAAUGACGGUACCUCGUCAGAACGCCCCGGCUAACUACGUGCCAGCAGCCUCGGUCAUACGUAGGGGGCAAGCGUUGUCCGGAAUGACUGGGCGUAACGGGAGUGUAGGCGGCUUAUCAAGUUAGAUGUGAAAUCCCGGGGCUUAACCGCGGAACUGCAGCUAAAACUGGUGAGCUGGAGUGCAGGAGAGGUGAGUGGAAUGCCUAGUGUAGCGGUGGAAUGCGUAGAUAUUAGGAGGAACACCAGAGGCGAAGGCGACUCACUGGACGGUAACUGACGCUGAGGCUCGAAAGCGUGGGGAGCAAACAGGAUUAGAUACCCCAGUAGUC
This 441-nucleotide ribosomal RNA is filed under the name uncultured bacterium. RNAcentral's name for it is "partial 16S ribosomal RNA". It matches the Rfam family "Bacterial small subunit ribosomal RNA", at positions 338 to 795 of the family's 1533-position model. The record is from RNAcentral.